GGGAUUGCCCCAGUAACGGCGAGUGAAGCGGCAACAGCUCAAAUUUGAAAUCUGGCCCCCAGGGCCCGAGUUGUAAUUUGCAGAGGAUGCUUUUGGUGAGGCACCUACCGAGUCCCCUGGAAUGGGGCGCCACAGAGGGUGAGAGCCCCGUAUGGUAGGACGCCGAACCUCUGUAAAGCUCCUUCGACGAGUCGAGUAGUUUGGGAAUGCUGCUCUAAAUGGGAGGUAAAUUUCUUCUAAAGCUAAAUACCGGCCAGAGACCGAUAGCGCACAAGUAGAGUGAUCGAAAGAUGAAAAGCACUUUGAAAAGAGGGUUAAAAAGUACGUGAAAUUGUUGAAAGGGAAGCGCUUGUGACCAGACUUGCGCCGGGCGGAUCAUCCAGCGUUCUCGCUGGUGCACUCCGCCCGGCUCAGGCCAGCAUCGGUUUUCGCCGGGGGACAAAGGCUUCGGGAACGUGGCUCUCUUCGGGGAGUGUUAUAGCCCGUUGCGUAAUACCCCGGCGGGGACCGACGACCGCGCUUCGGCAAGGAUGCUGGCGUAAUGGUCAUCAGCGACCCGUCUUGAAACACGGACCGAGGAGUCAAGCAUUAGUGCGAGUGUUUGGGUGUAAAACCCGCACGCGUAAUGAAAGUGAACGUAGGUGAGAGCUUCGGCGCAUCAUCGACCGAUCCUGAUGUUUUCGGAAGGAUUUGAGUAGGAGCAUUAACGCUUGGACCCGAAAGAUGGUGAACUAUACUUGAAUAGGGUGAAGCCAGAGGAAACUCUGGUGGAGGCUCGCAGCGGUUCUGACGUGCAAAUCGAUCGUCAAAUUUG
RNAcentral lists this ribosomal RNA (814 nucleotides) under Pyriculariaceae sp. Its description in RNAcentral is "partial large subunit ribosomal RNA". It matches the Rfam family "Eukaryotic large subunit ribosomal RNA", at positions 71 to 913 of the family's 3401-position model. Lineage: Eukaryota; Fungi; Ascomycota; Sordariomycetes; Magnaporthales; Pyriculariaceae. The record is from RNAcentral.